ACCAUGCCUCAUGUAACAGAAUCACCGCUAGAGACCACUAGUACAUAUGAGUAUGAAGCCUCAGCUGAAACGGAAGAGCCACCUUCAGAAAGUAGUGGGUGCG
Molecule: non-coding RNA, 103 nt
Organism: Penaeus vannamei (Pacific white shrimp)
Lineage: Eukaryota; Metazoa; Arthropoda; Malacostraca; Decapoda; Penaeidae
Source: RefSeq, a predicted model, not a curated record